UAGUCACAAUAAUCGGGGUUCGCAGAUGC
This 29-nucleotide small RNA is filed under the name Bombyx mori (domestic silkworm). RNAcentral's name for it is "ovarian small RNA-22971". The record is from RNAcentral. Lineage: Eukaryota; Metazoa; Arthropoda; Insecta; Lepidoptera; Bombycidae.